UUGAACCCGCAACCUUCCAGUCACAGGCGCAGAUCCUGAGCCACAGAGCCACCGCUCCGCCUCUGUACAUCUAGCACAUACAGAAGCAUUUUGACGUUUUAACUAAGCACUAUGACAUGAAGUAGCUGGCGCAGGGGCCAGUCCGUGCCACAUCAACAGAUACGACCUUGGCCCCUGUCUCCGUUUUUUUUUUUGUUAAAACGACUGGUUAAUUAAAAGCACUUAGAAAUUAAA
This is a long non-coding RNA of Lepisosteus oculatus (spotted gar), 234 nucleotides long. RefSeq lists it as uncharacterized. The record is from RefSeq and is a predicted model, not a curated record. NCBI's taxonomy places the organism in Eukaryota, Metazoa, Chordata, Actinopteri, Semionotiformes, Lepisosteidae.